This 81-nucleotide transfer RNA is filed under the name Erinaceus europaeus (western European hedgehog). It matches the Rfam family "tRNA". From Rfam's summary of the family: Transfer RNA (tRNA) molecules are approximately 80 nucleotides in length. Their secondary structure includes four short double-helical elements and three loops (D, anti-codon, and T loops). The record is from Rfam by way of RNAcentral. Lineage: Eukaryota; Metazoa; Chordata; Mammalia; Eulipotyphla; Erinaceidae.
GGAGAGGUAGCAUAGUGGUUAUGCAAAAAGUCUCUCAUGCCUUAGGCUCUGAGGUUCUGGGUUCAAUCCCCAGCACUGCCA